Molecule: unclassified non-coding RNA, 232 nt
Filed under: Hevea brasiliensis (rubber tree)
Lineage: Eukaryota; Viridiplantae; Streptophyta; Magnoliopsida; Malpighiales; Euphorbiaceae
Source: RNAcentral
GAAGAAGAUGAUAAUUGAGGAUCUUGAUAGAUUUGUGAAAAGGAGGGAUUUUUACAAGAAAGUUGGUAAGGCAUGGAAAAGAGGAUAUCUUUUGUAUGGACCUCCAGGAACAGGGAAAUCUAGCUUGAUUGCUGCCAUGGCCAAUUACUUAAAGUUCGAUAUUUAUGAUUUGGAACUCACCAGUUUGUAUUCUAAUUCGGAAUUGAGAAGGAUUUUGAUCUCCACUUCAAAU